ACGAUUAUAAAUCAACAUAUUGAUUUAUAAGCAUGGAAAUCCCCUGAGUGAAACAACGAAUUGCUGUGUGUAGUCUUUGCCCAUCUCCCACGAUGGGCUUUUUUUUAA
Molecule: non-coding RNA, 108 nt
Filed under: Escherichia coli
Lineage: Bacteria; Pseudomonadati; Pseudomonadota; Gammaproteobacteria; Enterobacterales; Enterobacteriaceae
Also listed under: 14 other names
Description: antisense sRNA RprA
Rfam family: RprA RNA
About the family: Translational regulation of the stationary phase sigma factor RpoS is mediated by the formation of a double-stranded RNA stem-loop structure in the upstream region of the rpoS messenger RNA, occluding the translation initiation site. Clones carrying rprA (RpoS regulator RNA A) increased the translation of RpoS. The rprA gene encodes a 106 nucleotide regulatory RNA.
Source: RNAcentral